CUUGUUGUGAUUGAACAAAGAAAAUAUUGGUAUUGAUGGAUGGAAUACUUACUUGAAGAUUAGAACUCAAAGUCACCAAUGACCUUUCAUUUGAUCUCAACCAAGAUGUUGGCAUGUGGAUGGGGUCCUCGUGGGAGCAGUAUUAGCAACACUUGACCAAAGUCAAGUGCUAGUUACAGACUCAUGGAAGACUUGAACUUUUGGGACGUUUUAAUACCAUUGGAGAUAAGACUUUCGAUGAAGCGUUAUAGUAACACCAGACUUAAUCUAGUUUCGCUCGGAUCUAGAUUUUAAGUUGUUGACUUUGACUUUAUUGUAUCCUUAUAUAUAAGUAUAAAGAGGUUUGGGGAGAA
Cynara cardunculus var. scolymus (artichoke) is the source of this 353-nucleotide long non-coding RNA. RefSeq lists it as uncharacterized. The record is from RefSeq and is a predicted model, not a curated record. NCBI's taxonomy places the organism in Eukaryota, Viridiplantae, Streptophyta, Magnoliopsida, Asterales, Asteraceae. The transcript is spliced from 2 exons.